Molecule: non-coding RNA, 64 nt
Filed under: Streptomyces sp.
Lineage: Bacteria; Bacillati; Actinomycetota; Actinomycetes; Kitasatosporales; Streptomycetaceae
Also listed under: 1 other name
Source: RNAcentral
GCUUUGCUACGGUUGAGGAAACCCGACGAGACGCGCCGUACCGGGUACGACAAGACGACGCACC